This 163-nucleotide unclassified non-coding RNA is filed under the name soil metagenome. RNAcentral's name for it is "partial internal transcribed spacer 1". The record is from RNAcentral.
ACGAGUUUUAAUUGUUAGGUUAGAGUUGAGCUGGUUAAUCUAAUUAAUAUGUGCUUACUCUAAUCGAACAAGUCCACUCAUUACUUAACACUUGUGAACUUAUUCAUUACAAACAUCUAUUAUUUGUUAUUGGAACGUUUGGGGGGAUUAUUAAAAGUUAAUA